RNAcentral lists this ribosomal RNA (599 nucleotides) under Gloydius ussuriensis (Ussuri mamushi). RNAcentral's name for it is "partial 12S ribosomal RNA". It matches the Rfam family "Microsporidia small subunit ribosomal RNA", at positions 453 to 1272 of the family's 1311-position model. Lineage: Eukaryota; Metazoa; Chordata; Lepidosauria; Squamata; Viperidae. The record is from RNAcentral.
UGACUAAAUAACAGUUAAAACUUAGGGUAGAACUCCGGCUGGGCUGUAAAAAGCCAUAAGCCACACUAAUCCCCACCCCUAACACCACACAACUUUGACUCAUGAAAGCUAGGAUACAAACUAAGAUUAGAUACCCUACUAUGCCUAGCCGUAACACACAAUUAAAUCACCAAUUGUUCGCCAAACAACUACGAGCCAUACUUGAAACUUAAAAGACUUGACGGUACUUCAUCACGACCUAGAGGAGCCUGUCUAAUAACCGACAAUCCACGAUUAACCCAACCCCUUCUUGCCCAACAGUCUAUAUACCGCCGUCGCCAGCUUACCUUGUGAAAGAAAUAAAGUGAGCUAAAUAAUACAACAUUAAAACGACAGGUCGAGGUGUAACCUAUGAAGGGGCCAAGAUGGGCUACAUUCUCAUUAGAGAAUACGAAUAACACUAUGAAAUUAGUGUUUGAAGGCGGAUUUAGUAGUAAGCUAAGAAUAAAAUACUUAACUGAACAUAACGCAAUGAAGUGCGUACACACCGCCCGUCAUCCCUGCCACCACAAUAUAAACCUUUAUAAACUAACCCAAUAAAUCAAUACAGGGCAAGUCGU